This 454-nucleotide ribosomal RNA is filed under the name uncultured Sphingobacteriales bacterium. RNAcentral describes it as "bacterial SSU rRNA". It matches the Rfam family "Bacterial small subunit ribosomal RNA", at positions 925 to 1382 of the family's 1533-position model. The record is from RNAcentral. Lineage: Bacteria; Pseudomonadati; Bacteroidota; Sphingobacteriia; Sphingobacteriales.
ACAAGCGGAGGAACAUGUGGUUAAUUCGAUGAUACGCGAGGAACUUACCUGGGCUUAAAUGUAGAGUGCAUUUUCUAGAGAUAGGAAUUCCCUUCGGGGCUUUCUACAAGGUGCUGCAUGGUUGUCGGUCAGCUCGUGCCGUGAGGUGUCGGGUUAAGUCCCAUAACGAGCGCAACCCUUAUCGUUAGUUGCCAUCUGGUAAAGCAGGGGACUCUAGCGAACUGCCACCGUAAGGUGAGAGGAAGGUGGGAUGACGUCAAAUCAGCACGGCCCUUAUGUCCAGGGCUACACACGUGUUACAAUGGUCGGUACAGAGGGCAGCUACCUGGUGACAGGAUGCUAAUCUCGAAAACCGGCCUCAGUUCGGAUCGAAGUCUGCAACUCGACUUCGUGAAGCUGGAUUCGCUAGUAAUCGCGCAUCAGCCAUGGCGCGGUGAAUACGUUCCCGGGCCUU